This is a long non-coding RNA of Poecile atricapillus (Black-capped chickadee), 1397 nucleotides long. RefSeq lists it as uncharacterized. The record is from RefSeq and is a predicted model, not a curated record. Lineage: Eukaryota; Metazoa; Chordata; Aves; Passeriformes; Paridae. The transcript is spliced from 3 exons.
CACCAUGACUGUGAUGAUCAAAACCAUGAGAUGAUCAUGACACAACCAUGGCUGUGAGAUGAUUGUGACCAUGAGGUGACUGUGAGAUGACCACGAGAUGACCAUGACCAUAAGAUGAUGAUGAUGACCAUAACUGUGGGAAAUAAUAAAACCCUUACAGAAUAAGGACCUUUUCCACCUUUGUUAAAUCCCAGUCACUUCCGUUCACUUUUGUUCACCAAAAAGCACUCUGGGAAGGGUUCAGCUGCAGGUCAGAUGGUCCGAGAGUGGGCUGGUGGUCAUCUCAUGGGUGAGGCAGUGAUUGGCUGGGGAGAUGCGUGGCCACCACACGAUCAGAGAGCUGAUUGGGUAAAGGGACGUAUCAACAGCGACACUGCAAUGACAGGCAGCCAAUGAGUGCUUGGUUCGGUUUAGUUAAGUUUGGUUAGGUUUGGUUAGGUUUGAGUUUGGUUUGGUUAAGUUCAGUUAAGUUUGGGUCAGGUUUGGUUAAGUUUGGGUUAAUUUUGGGUCAGGUUUGGUUAAGUUUGCGUGAGGUUUGGGUUAGGUUUGGUUAAAUUUGGGUUAGGUUUGGUUAAGUUUGGGUCAGGUUUGGUUAAGUUUGGGUUAAUUUUGGGUCAGGUUUGGUUAAGUUUGGGUUAGGUUUGGGUUAGGCUUGGUUAACUUUGGGUUAGGUUUUGUUAAUUUUGGGUUAGGUUUUGAGUCUGAAAAUGCUCGGUUGGUUACAAUAAAGGAUCACUGAAGCAAGCAAGGCAGUCCCUGUGUCUUCGUUCCCCAUUGCUACUCAUGACCAUGAGAUGGCCAUGAUGAUGACCAUGAGAUGACCAUGACUGUGAGCAUGAGAUGGCCAUGACUGUGACCAUGAGAUGGCCAUGAUGAUGACCAUGAGAUGGCCAUGAAUGUAACCAUGAGAUGACCAUGACUAUGACCAUGAGAUGAGUCACGUAUGAUCCUGGCAUAACCAUGAUAUGAUUAUGGCCAUGAGAUGACCACAAGAUGAUCAUGAGAAGACUGUGACCACGAGGUGACCAUGACACAACCAUGACCUUGAGAUGACCACGACCAUGAUAUGAACUUGACAGAACCAUGACCAUUGCAAUGAGAUGACCAUGACCAUGAGAUGAUGGUGAUCAGCAAAAUGACCAUGGCCAUGAAAUGGCCAUGAGAUGACCGUGGCCAUGACACAACCACAGCCAUGAGAUGACCAUGUUAUGAUUUGCCAUGAGUUGACCAUGAGAUGACCAUGAGAUGACCAUGAGAUGAUCAUGACCAUGACACACCCAUGAUCAUAAGAUGACCAUUACAGUGACAUGACCAUGAAUGUGACCAUGACACAACCAUGGCCAUGGGGUGACCAUGAGCAUGUGAUGACUUUGACCGAGAUAUGACCACACUGCAAG